GAGUUCAAAGACCUUAAGAGCAGAUUCCCAACGCAAAGCAGUAAUACGUUCAUGAAGAGCUUCAAGAACAGUACGAGGCAAUAAUUUCUUCGAAUUCCCUUUCUUCUUCUUAUACUCAAUCACUGCUUUAGCAGCUUCUCUUCGAAGAAUAAUCGAUACAGCUUUCUGUGAAGCUAUCUUUUUGUUUGUUUCCUCUUUCCUUUCCUUUGCUUCCUUCACCUUCAGCUUCUCAAACUCCAUUGAAG
RNAcentral lists this unclassified non-coding RNA (245 nucleotides) under Hevea brasiliensis (rubber tree). The record is from RNAcentral. Lineage: Eukaryota; Viridiplantae; Streptophyta; Magnoliopsida; Malpighiales; Euphorbiaceae.